RNAcentral lists this ribosomal RNA (233 nucleotides) under uncultured bacterium. Its description in RNAcentral is "partial small subunit ribosomal RNA". It matches the Rfam family "Bacterial small subunit ribosomal RNA", at positions 26 to 287 of the family's 1533-position model. The record is from RNAcentral.
AGGAUGAACGCUGGCGGUCUGCUUAACACAUGCAAGUCGAACGGGCGUAGCAAUACGUUAGUGGCGGACGGGUGAGUAACGCGUGAGAAUCUACCUUCAGGACGGAGACAACAGUUGGAAACGACUGCUAACCCCGAUGUACUGAAAAGGCAAAUAUUUAUAGCCUGAAGAAGAGCUCGCGUCCGAUUAGCUAGUUGGAGAGGUAAAAGCUCACCAAGGCGACGAUCGGUAGC